RNAcentral lists this ribosomal RNA (119 nucleotides) under Prolemur simus (greater bamboo lemur). Lineage: Eukaryota; Metazoa; Chordata; Mammalia; Primates; Lemuridae. The record is from RNAcentral.
GUCUACGGCCAUACCACCCUGAACGUGCUCGAUCUCGUCUGAUCUCAGAAGCUAAGCAGGGUCAGGCCUGGUUAGUAUUUGGAUGGGAGACCACCUGGGAAUACCGGGUGCUGUAGGCU